UGCCUACUGAGCUGAUAUCA
This 20-nucleotide microRNA is filed under the name Ornithorhynchus anatinus (platypus). RNAcentral's name for it is "oan-miR-24-1-5p". Its record names the gene oan-miR-24-1-5p. The record is from miRBase by way of RNAcentral. Lineage: Eukaryota; Metazoa; Chordata; Mammalia; Monotremata; Ornithorhynchidae.